This 481-nucleotide ribosomal RNA is filed under the name uncultured bacterium. RNAcentral's name for it is "partial 16S ribosomal RNA". It matches the Rfam family "Bacterial small subunit ribosomal RNA", at positions 30 to 507 of the family's 1533-position model. The record is from RNAcentral.
AUUGAACGCUGGCGGCAUGCUUUACACAUGCAAGUCGAACGGUAACAGGCCGCAAGGUGCUGACGAGUGGCGUACGGGUGAGUAAUGCAUCGGAAUGUGCCCAGUCGUGGGGGAUAACUACUCGAAUGAGUAGCUAAUACCGCAUACGAUCUAUGGAUGAAAGCGGGGGACCGUAAGGCCUCGCGCGAUUGGAGCGGCCGAUGUUAGAUAGGUAGUUGGUGGGGUAAAGGCUCACCAAGGCAACGAUUUGUAGCUGGUCUGAGAGGACGACCAGCCACACUGGGACUGAGACACGGCCCAGACUCCUACGGGAGGCAGCAGUAGGGAAUUUUGGACAAUGGGCGCAAGCCUGAUCCAGCAAUGCCGCGUGCAGGAAGAAGGCCUUCGGGUUGUAAACUGCUUUUGUACGGGACGAAACGGCUCUGGUUAAUACCCGGGGCUAAUGACGGUACCGGAAGAAUAAGCACCGGCUAACUACGUG